CAGUCAUCAAUCACAAUAUGUAAAUUUACAGUUUAGUCCUUAUAAUUGAUCCUUUUUGCAAAAACUACCUAAAUAAGCUCUAAAAAUUCUAAAAUUUUUACCCCGCGGUCCCUAAUAAUAUUAUAUGACUAUUGCAAAAGGAAUUAUAAUUUUUCGAUAAUCCACGAAUAUUUUAUGAAUUUUCUUCUAAAUCGAUAUUAGCCGAAAAUGAGCAAUUUGGAGUUCGGAUUAAUCUAUUCUGACACCUGGAACGCGUUCAGAAAGUUUGAAAAUGCUAGAAUUGACUGUAAUAUCGACCACUUUCUGAGACGAGCUGCCAUGCAGCCGGAUUUGACUAAAAAUGCGAUCCCGACACCGAUGAGCUAUCAUCGAUCCGAUUGCACCGAGCGAUCUGGACUGUCCGAUUAUCGCCUUUAUCAAACGGUGUCCGACCGAAGCGGGACCAGUCUUAUCUCCAAGAUCUCGUCGUCUUGAGUCCAUCGGUGGCCUCGGAUU
This 495-nucleotide unclassified non-coding RNA is filed under the name Hevea brasiliensis (rubber tree). Lineage: Eukaryota; Viridiplantae; Streptophyta; Magnoliopsida; Malpighiales; Euphorbiaceae. The record is from RNAcentral.